Molecule: ribosomal RNA, 241 nt
Filed under: uncultured bacterium
Lineage: Bacteria
Description: partial 16S ribosomal RNA
Rfam family: Bacterial small subunit ribosomal RNA
Source: RNAcentral
UACAGAGGUGGCAAGCGUUGUUCGGAAUUACUGGGCGUAAAGGGCGCGUAGGCGGUCUUCUAAGUCUUGUGUGAAAUCCCUCGGCUCAACUGAGGAACUGCACGGGAUACUGGAAGACUUGAGUUCGGGAGAGGGAAGCGGAAUUCCGGGUGUAGCGGUGAAAUGCGUAGAUAUCCGGAGGAACACCGGUGGCGAAGGCGGCUUCCUGAACCGAUUACUGACGCUGAGCGCGAAAGCUAGG